RNAcentral lists this ribosomal RNA (254 nucleotides) under uncultured bacterium. RNAcentral describes it as "partial 16S ribosomal RNA". It matches the Rfam family "Bacterial small subunit ribosomal RNA", at positions 524 to 776 of the family's 1533-position model. The record is from RNAcentral.
CACGUAGGGGGCAAGCGUUGUCCGGAUUUAUUGGGCGUAAAGAGCUCGUAGGUGGUUCGGUAAGUCGGGUGUUAAACCCCCAGGCUCAACCUGGGGACGCCACUCGAUACUGCUGUGACUUGAGUCCGGUAGGGGAGCGUGGAAUUCCUGGUGUAGCGGUGAAAUGCGUAGAUAUCGGAAGGAACAUCAGUGGCGAAAGCGACUUCCUGGACCAAUACUGACGCUCAUGUGCGAAAGCGUGGGGAGCAAACAGG